GUUGGUUCCCGGUGGAAGGAAGGUGGGUCCCACGCAGGCCACCCCGGCGCCCUCUCGGCACUGCUGAAGGACCCGUCAUCGCCUCCGUCUGGUGCCUGCGAAUUCAGUCCCCCUUCCACGGCAGAGGCCACCGCCCAGCCCUCUCUGAUUCAAAGGACAGGCAGAAGCAGCUCAGAACUGCCACCUCCAGGUAAACGUGCUGAAAGGCGGGGACCGGGAAGGCGGCUGCGUUUGGUCGGGAUGGCAAAGCGGCUCAGCGACAGGCACCCGAGGAGCCGCGUCAGAACAGGACCCGGGGUUGUCAGGGCCCAAGAAGAGGGGGUGGUCCUGCGAGCCACUGCUUCCUGCGCGUGUCAGUGCCCUUCGGAAAGGAGCUCCGCCGUGGAGUCGGCCUCCCGGUUCCAAAGGUCUCCGGCCAAAUUAUUUGGGCCCUGUUCCAGGACGCAUGAGGGUCAGUCGCCUGCGCUGGAGACAGGUGCGCCCCCCGCCCUUUCCUCCGCCAGAGAAACACCCUGUGUCUGUGCCCCCUCUCUCUUCCGUGAUCAAUUGAAUUCAGCAACUAGAUUUUCACUUUGGCUUCCCGCCUGGAUUUUGAGGAACCUAAGGUUUCAUCCCGUUUUCAUCCUUCUUAAGAAGCAGCCUACUCUGCCAUUUCACCCUUUCCCCGGACCCCAGCUGCAGUGGCGAUGAGAUGCGCUAAAUGCGGAAAACACUGCCGGAGAGCAGGGUCUCCAUACAGUGAGUGGCCCUCCUUCCACCCCUCCUUCAGGAUUUCACAUCUGCUUAGCCUCUAAGACUUCUAAAAUUCAUCUCUAGUCAACUCUGGAACUUCCCCCUACCUUCCAUUCACUGAAUUGCCUCUCCCCAAAAGAUGUGUUGAAGUCCCCCCUCCUCCAUCUGCAAACCCGACCUUAAUGUUGAAAAGGGACCUCUGCAGAGCGGUUGUAUGGAGAUUAGUUAUCACUAACAUGACUGUUGUCUUCUCAGGAGAAACAGUGCCACACGAUGCAAAUAACACAAAACAGAGGGACAUGAGAAGAUGGAUGUGAGGACUUGAGGUGUGCAGCCACAAGCCCAGGAAUGCCCAGGGCCACCAGGCUGGAAGAGGCAGGAAGGGUCCUGCCCUAGAGGCUGUGGAGGGAGCACAGCCCUGCCCACACCUGGAGUUGGGACUUCUGUCCUCCAGAACUGUGAGAGACUACACUUCUGUUGUUUUAAAUCAUCCAGUUUGUGGUAAUUUGUUAUAACUCUAGAAAAUUAUUAUAUGCCUCUAGUCCUGACCAACAGGGUCUCUUUCUCAGUCCAGCAUUACUGCUAGAUGGUUUCUUUUCUGAUAUGUCCUUUCCAUGACAGCCAGAGUGAUCUUCCUCCAACUCAAGCCAGUCAUUUGCGGUGCUGCUCAGCUUCCUAUCACUAUGACAAAAUAUGGGAGAUAAAUACUUUAGAAGGAGAUUUACUUUGGCGCACAGUGUCAGAAGUGUCAGUCCAUGUGGCCUGGGCCUCUUGCUUUGGGCCUGUGGAGGGGCAGUAUGUCAUGGCAGGGAGCAUAAGACAAAGCAAAGAUGUUCACCUUGGGGCUGGGGAUGUGGCUCAAGUGGUAGCGCGCUCGCCUGGCAUGUGCGGGACACUGGGUUCGAUCCUCAGCACCACAUAAAAA
RNAcentral lists this long non-coding RNA (1657 nucleotides) under Marmota monax (woodchuck). The record is from RNAcentral. Lineage: Eukaryota; Metazoa; Chordata; Mammalia; Rodentia; Sciuridae.